ACUGGGAUUGCCCUAGUAACGGCGAGUGAAGCGGCAACAGCUCAAAUUUGAAAUCUGGCCUCGUUGGCGGGGUCCGAGUUGUAAUUUGCAGAGGAUGCUUUGGCUUUGGUUGCGGUCUAAGUUCCUUGGAACAGGACAUCAAAGAGGGUGAGAAUCCCGUAUUUGGUCGCGCACCAUCGCCGUGUAAAGCCCCUUCGACGAGUCGAGUUGUUUGGGAAUGCAGCUCUAAAUGGGAGGUAAAUUCCUUCUAAAGCUAAAUACCGGCCAGAGACCGAUAGCGCACAAGUAGAGUGAUCGAAAGAUGAAAAGCACUUUGGAAAGAGAGUCAAAAAGCACGUGAAAUUGUUGAAAGGGAAGCGCUUGCAGCCAGACUUGCCCGUAGUUGCUCACCCAGGCUCCUGCCUGGGGCACUCUUCUGCGGGCAGGCCAGCAUCAGCUCGGGCGGUCGGACAAAGGCCUCUGUCAUGUAUCUUCCUUCGGGAUGACCUUAUAGGGGAGGCGCAACACGGCCAGCCCGGGCUGAGGACCGCGCAUCUGCUAGGAUGCUGGCGUAAUGGCCGCAAGCGGCCCGUCUUGAAACACGGACCAAGGAGUCUAACAUCUGUGCGAGUGUUUGGGUGUCAAGCCCGGGCGCGCAAUGAAAGUGAACGGAGGUGGGAACCCUCUCCGGGGGGCGCACCAUCGACCGAUCCUGAUGUCUUCGGAUGGAUUUGAGUAAGAGCACGGCUGUUGGGACCCGAAAGAUGGUGAACUAUGCUUGAAUAGGGUGAAGCCAGAGGAAACUCUGGUGGAGGCUCGCAGCGGUUCUGACGUGCAAAUCGAUCGUCAAAUUUGGGCAUAGGGGCGAAAGACUAAUCGA
Molecule: ribosomal RNA, 859 nt
Filed under: Submersispora variabilis
Lineage: Eukaryota; Fungi; Ascomycota; Dothideomycetes; Pleosporales; Bambusicolaceae
Description: partial large subunit ribosomal RNA
Rfam family: Eukaryotic large subunit ribosomal RNA
Source: RNAcentral